Molecule: ribosomal RNA, 494 nt
Filed under: uncultured bacterium
Lineage: Bacteria
Description: partial 16S ribosomal RNA
Rfam family: Bacterial small subunit ribosomal RNA
Source: RNAcentral
GAUGAACGCUGGCGGCGUGCUUAACACAUGCAAGUCGAACGGGAAUCACUUCAUUGAGACUUCGGUGGAUUUGAUUUGAUUCUAGUGGCGGACAGGUGAGUAACGCGUGGGUAACCUGCCUUAUACAGGGGGAUAACAGUCAGAAAUGACUGCUAAUACCGCAUAAGCGCACAGGACCGCAUGGUCCGGUGUGAAAAACUCCGGUGGUAUAAGAUGGACCCGCGUUGGAUUAGCUUGUUGGUGGGGUAACGGCCCACCAAGGCGACGAUCCAUAGACGGCCUGGGGGGGUGAACGGCCACAUUGGGACUGAGACACGGACCAGACUCCUACGGGAGGCAGCAGUGGGGAAUAUUGCACAAUGGGGGAAACCCUGAUGCAGCGACGCCGCGUGAAGGAAGAAGUAUCUCGGUAUGUAAACUUCUAUCAGCAGGGAAGAUAGUGACGGUACCUGACUAAGAAGCCCCGGCUAACUACGUGCCAGCCGCCGCAGUAA